RNAcentral lists this ribosomal RNA (1284 nucleotides) under Leviprora inops (longhead flathead). Its description in RNAcentral is "partial 16S ribosomal RNA". It matches the Rfam family "Bacterial large subunit ribosomal RNA", at positions 598 to 2552 of the family's 2925-position model. The record is from RNAcentral. Lineage: Eukaryota; Metazoa; Chordata; Actinopteri; Perciformes; Platycephalidae.
CUCGUACCUUUUGCAUCAUGAUUUAGCCAGUGAUCCCCAAGCAAAGAGCACUUUAGUUUGAUAACCCGAAACUAGUAUGAGCUACUCCAAGACAGCCUAAUAUAGGGCGAAUCCGUCUCUGUGGCAAAAGAGUGGAAAGAGCUUUGAGUAGAGGUGACAGACCUACCGAAUCUAGUUAUAGCUGGUUGCCUGGGAAUUGGAUAGGAGUUCAGCCUCCCGAAUUCUCCACUAACACAAAGUAACCCCAUCCCCAAGUACAACCAGAAUUCGCGAGAGUUAAUCAAAGGAGGUACAGCCCCUUUGAAAAAGAUACAACUUUCCCCAGUAGGGUCAAGAUCAAAUUCAACCCAAGGGUAAAUAAUCUCAGUAGGCCUAAGAGCAGCCACCCCAUCAGAAAGCGUUAAAGCUCAAAUUUAUUAACACCCCACAUAUACCGACUAUUUAGUCUAAACCCCCUAAUCUUACCAGGCCGCCCCAUGCAAACAUGGGAGUGACCAUGCUAAUAUGAGUAAUAAGAGGGCCCCGCCCCUCUCCUUGCACACGUGUAAACCGGUAUGGACCCCCCACCGAAAAUUAACGUCCCCAAACCAAGAGGGUACUGAACAUAAACCACCUAACCAGAAAACCGCCCAACCAUCUAUCGUUAACCCUACACAGGAGUGCCCACAAGGAAAGACUAAAAAAAAGAGAAGGAACUCGGCAAACACACCCCAAGCCUCGCCUGUUUACCAAAAACAUCGCCUCUUGUAAGAUAAAUAUAAGAGGCCCAGCCUGCCCAGUGACUUUAUGUUCAACGGCCGCGGUAUUCUGACCGUGCGAAGGUAGCGCAAUAACUUGUCCUUUAAAUGGGGACUAGUAUGAAUGGCAUCACGAGGGCUUAUCUGUCUCCUUUUUUAGGUCAAUGAAAUUGAUCUUCCCGUGCAAAAGCGGGAAUACGCACAUAAGACGAGAAGACCCUGUGGAGCUUUAGACACCAAGACAGAUCACGUUAAGAAUACCUCAAUAAGGGUUUAAACUAAAAGAAGCCUGCUCUGAUGUCUUUGGUUGGGGCGACCGCGGAGUAGAAAAUACCCUCCCCUCCGCGUGGACUGGGAGCACUAAACCUGAAACCUCCUACAACUGAGAGCUACAGCUCAAACCAGCAGAAAUUUCUGGCCAUCAUUGAUCCGGCCCAACGCCGAUCAACGAACCGAGUUACCCCAGGGAUAACAGCGCAAUCCCCUUUUAGAGCCCAUAUCGACAAGGGGGUUUACGACCUCGAUGUUGGAUCAGGACAUCCUAAUG